CCUCUGCGCUGCACGCGCGAGAGAUGCCCUCCCACCCGAUUCCACACCCACGGGAGACCGCCCUCCGCCGCGGAGGGCCACGCCAGCGAUCUCCCCUCAGCCCACAUGCCUCCUCUUUCCUCUCCAUUAUCCUUCUCUCUCCGCCCCUUGUUCAUCCGCGACGGCCUGAGCUCACCACGAUCCAUGGCCCUCUCCUUCUGCCAGCAUCGGUACAUCGCGGGUCGUCCGUGGCGCUCGACCUCCUCGUUCCGCGCCGCCCAUACUGCACUGCGCACGCGCGCCUCCUGAUCCAUGGCCGCCUUUUGCCCAGCUGCGAGAUCGAUGUUGGGCGCCAUGACCAGCCUCUUGCGCAGCUCGUCCAUGACGUUGGGGCUUCUGUAGAGAAGAAAUGAGGGAGGGAGAUGAGCAGAGAGGGGGGGAGGAUAAACAGAGGAAGGAGGGGGAGAGCAAGGGAAGAAAAGAGCAGAGAGAAGGGGCGGCGCCGCUCCGGCGAGCUGCGGCUGGGGUCCUCGGUGGCUGCCUACUGCGUGGUUGUGUCGUUGAAGCUCACAUGAUGGAGUGUUUAUGCACAACUGAAGUUGGCACAUUCAGUUCUGCAUAUAUCGAACAGCCUUCAAAACUUCUGAAAGCAAAGAGCUGGAGAACUAUCCUCUAGACUCUCCUGUAUCCCCACAGAUUAUUUUGCUUCCAAACUUCUGAUAAACACAGCAGCUUCCAAUGCAAUUUCACUUGCCAGAUGUUGUUAUUCAGGAGGAGGAUUUCCGUAGUAUCCCUGGGCUGGAAUAGAAUUCCUUGAUUUGAUGUCAAGAAUUGGCAACUGCAGAAUACAUUGUCUCGAGGAUUAUACGAUUAUUAAAGCACAUACAUCGAAGUUUUAAUAUAGGCAGGUUGCAUGCACACGCACCUCUUUGCCCAGGUGUACUUGAUGACACAUAUGCCCUUUGUAUGGCUGGUAAACAGAAGGUGGUCACGUUGCUGCAUUUGAUUGUUGCGUACAAGGAUGAUACUGAGUAUAAUGUGCUUGCACAUGCCAUCAACUCACUACUCUUCCUAUUCUAAUUAAUUUUUGUUGUUCCUAAACUUGAUCUUGUUCUAAUGAUAAUUUAUCAUGCAGUCUCUUCUAGCUUUUCAGAAAUCCAUCCCUUGCAAGUGAGGUGGCUGGGAUGCCAAGAGUGGGGAGGGUCACCUGAAUACACUGUUAAGAGGUGUAAAGGAAGUGAAGUGUGAACCCAGUGUUUCUUUUGACUACUCCCAAGUCUGAAAUGAAUUCCAUGAGGAGGAAAAGGCUGAAUUGAGUGCUUGAAAUAAAGGAGGAGCAUCCUAAGAAGCAGUCAGGUUGGAGAAAAAGAUCAGAGUUUCAUCUGUUGUGGAAGUGGAAGGUAAUUAGACGUCAGAAGAUUACAAGGAAAGAUAAAGCGGAUAAAUUUACACGGAAUCAUACCACAUGAGCUCACAUCGCGAUCCACAGACGAUCCAUCUCUUUCAAGAGCGGCCGUUGUCCCACGACAUAGUUUCUUGACCUGCCAACCAUGAUUCAUAGGAUAGGAAGUGGUGCUCUCUCCCGGUGCAAUGCACGGGCAUUUGUGCUAGUGUUACUAAGCGUACCAAAUUUCACUGGAAGGACUUGAAGCAUGUCAUAAACUUUGUUGAUAAUCUGACAGAGAUAGCACAGCGUAUGAACGCUGGAUUUUGGAUGGGAUUAAUUAUACCUAUGGUGCACACAAUGAACAAGACCAAUUGUGUUCACAAAACGCUGAAAUUGCCCGCUGUAGCAGUUCCUGGAUCGAUUUCCCGACGUGGUCAAAUUACACUUGUGCUUGCUAAUAACGCCAAAGUGAUUGCAAGGUACUGCAUUUCCCGCAGAAAUGGAACCAUUCAUAUUAACAAGUUCUCGCUUGUCGUGGCAAUCCAUCCAUAUUGGAAAAUUGGAGACACUGUUCUACUCAUGCUCUACCAAGGCAUAGGAGGGCUCUUCCUUUUCAUUGACGAGAUGUCGAGUCGCCGUGAUCAAGCUGCUUCCAGCGGAUAGUUGUGGUUGUUGGUCCUUGGCCUCUUAAAAUUUGCUAGCUGUUACUAUGUUAAGUAUGUAGAUAUGGACCAUAUGGUUGUUGGCCCUUAGCCACUUAAAAUGUGAUGGUUGCUACUAUGUUAAGUAUGUAAAUAUGGACCAUACGGUUGUCAAAACCGUGUUA
Molecule: long non-coding RNA, 2192 nt
Organism: Aegilops tauschii subsp. strangulata
Lineage: Eukaryota; Viridiplantae; Streptophyta; Magnoliopsida; Poales; Poaceae
Source: RefSeq, a predicted model, not a curated record